UUUCCUAAAGGAUAUAGAUUUCUCUCUUCUUUGGCUCCAAUAAUUUGUGCCCAAACUUCAGACCAGUAAUUCCCCAGAUGAGCCUGCUGCUACCCUACUUGCGUCUUACUUUUGCAAGCUGUUUCCAUUCUUAUUAGGCUAAUAACUGAAGACAGGAUCAAGAUAUCUUUCUAACCUAUCCAAAAUACCUGAAUAUUCUGUCACAUUCAACAGUUUACAGUGAAGAAGAAGAAUCAAGUGUACAUCCCAAUCUGAAUUACUGCAUUCAAAGAAAAAUUACCACUGCUAGCCACUCUACAAGAAUAGCACAGCCCUGGUAGAACUUUUAAAGUAACAGGAGAAAGGAAGAGAAGAAAGGAUAAAAAGGAAAAAGAAGAAAAAGGAAAAAGAGAACAAGAAAGUCACCUAACUUGAAGACUUGGUGACCAAAACUCAUCCAGCAAAGAUAAAUAACAAAGAACAAUAUUGCUGAUUAAUCUCUUCCUAGGAUGUACAAAGAGAAAACACAAGGAAAAACAAGUUGUAUUAAUAGACAUACAGUAGCCAUAAUAAAGAAGAUAAACGUUCCCCCAUCUUCUAUAACCUAAAUGAGAAAGGAAUUGGUGAUGGUUAGCCUGGAGAAAGAAGGGAUUGGUGGAAGCACGGUGACAUUAGAACGCAUCAUAAACAUAUCUGUAGCAUGGGACAAUUGACCUGCCUAGAAGACGACUGGGCCAGGAGCAUGACAUAAUUUCAAGUCAGUUGAAGAAAAUAGAAAAGGAACUGCUGAGUAGACGUACUGGUCCAAGAACAGUGAAAGACAUGUAAAGCAGAUGUAACCCCAAACAACAGCUGAAGAAGAGUUGCCCAACUCCGCCAGCCUAGAUCAAACUGCAGUCAAAUGUACACCCUUGAGCAUGGGAAUAAAUUCAUGUUUUUGUAAAUCAUGAA
Molecule: long non-coding RNA, 930 nt
Filed under: Homo sapiens (human)
Lineage: Eukaryota; Metazoa; Chordata; Mammalia; Primates; Hominidae
Description: long non-coding RNA NONHSAT203041.1
Source: RNAcentral